This is an RNA transcript of Tyto alba (common barn owl), 4217 nucleotides long. It is a transcript of the gene named ras homolog family member C, with no coding region annotated. The record is from RefSeq and is a predicted model, not a curated record. NCBI's taxonomy places the organism in Eukaryota, Metazoa, Chordata, Aves, Strigiformes, Tytonidae. The transcript is spliced from 2 exons.
CUUAAGCACUGGGUUUGAGCUCCAUUUUUGAUGAUCGCUCGCCGUUUGGACGUGGCAGGUCUAGGUCCUGAGAAGGUUUCAGGCAGCUUUCCCGGGGGUGAGCACAGACCCUCCCCUGGGCGCUCCGUGCCGGGGAGUUCUGGCGCGGGGGCUCAGCGAUGGUGGUUUUGGUGGGCAGGGCUGGGGGCUGAUCUCCUCUGUGCAGAGCUCGGCCUGCCCUGGGGGCUGCGGGGGCUUCAAUCAGCAGAUGCUGCUGUGCCAAGGCCAGCUCUGCUUUCAUCGGCUCGGAGCUGCGAUCCGCCCAGGAGCUCAGAGCCUGAGUGCUGGCCUGGCUGUGGCGUUUCCCUUUGGCAUUGCUCUUCGCUCCAAGCCCUUUUGGAACUUCUGCUUCUGAAUAAGAGUCCCUCUGAUAUCCGAGGCACUUGCCAGGACACUUGCUCUGUGCUACCUUGGCCACUGUUCAGAUGUCUCAGCAAAUUAAAUUCCCCUCAAUGGGCAUACCUGUCAGAUUUUAAUUUAGAAGUUUACUUUCUUUUUCAUUGCACCAGCAAGUCCCACCAGCUAAAACUUUCUGCUGUGAAACUGCGAGGCUUUCUGCUGGUAAUGCAUGCAAGUGACCCGUGUACCUCUGUCCUCCUGUCCCCAAACACCUUCAAUCCCCAUCCAACUACUUUAACCUGGGGACAGCUGUGGCACCCACUGUGCUGGGGCUCCCAGUUUGUGCUGACGGGAGCUGCGGCCGGUUGGUGGGGCGGGAGGAGAGCUGCUCCCGGGGGUGUCCGUAGGGAGGCACCCCCCGUGCCCCCGACCGUGCCCGUGGUGGCCUGUGGCUGCCCGAAGUGGCUCCUGUUUGCCCGGUGGCUCCUCUACGGGGCCCUGUCCCCAGGUGCCCUGGCCAGCGCCCUGGGCACACACACGGCCGUGUUUAGAAGUGGAGACGGCUUGUGCUUGGCUGCCCUGCUCAGAAAACACUUUCUGUGUUCCCUGCUAGUGUGUCGUGCUCUCUGGAUGCUGUGAGCUGCCUCGGGUCUUGUCUCUGUUACAGGUUGCACAGCCUGAGCUGAAGGCGCGUAGUUUGGGGUUUUUGAAAUCCAGUUAAACGCCCCGUGGCUGGUGGAGCCCUGGGCUUGAUCUGUGCUGCAUCGGCCCAGCUCCUUCCCAAACAAGAGUUAAAUCAAAACAGCCCAAACCAGCACUCUGGAUGCUUUUGUUUAUCAAACCAUUGAAAAGUUUAGCAGAGCUGAGGACACAGCAAUACCAGGAAGAUCUUGGGCUGUUCAAAGAGGUGGUUUUUCCUCUUGUGGUGGUGCUGGGGGGUCUGGGUGGGUGACAGGGCUGCAUGCAGGGGGCUGGCUGUUCCCUGAGCCCCGGCUCCAAGGGGUCCCCAGGCUUCGGGGCUUGCCUGCGGCCAGGGCUGUGGACAGAACAGAAAUUCAGCUGGUUUUGCUGAUAGGUGGUGUGACAGGUCGGGCCAGGGUGGGGCUGUCACCAGCAGCGCUUGGGAAUUUCUGCUUUAGAACAAAACCCCUCUGUCAGCUUGGGGAGCUCGAGCCUUGCCAAGGAGGUUUCUUGGAAGAUUUCAGUCCCUAGUUUGAGCCCUUCUUCAAAGCGUUAACACUUUUCUCUGCCAUUUCCUGAGAUCCUGUAGCAGACACUGGAUGACAGACACAUCCUGCUGCCGGAGGAAUUCCCCUUUUCCUGCUCAGCAGGAACUUGUAAUUUUGAGGCAUGAAGCUGGGGGAGACCAACGCAAGGGCUGUCCUGGAGCCCUGGCUGGUUUAACAGUGAUGGCUUUAGAAUAGCUGCUUGGAAAGCAGAACAAUUUGGUUUCAUUUUGCAAUUUCUUGGGGUGCUGAAGGAGCUGCCUGCUCAGGAUUAGGCGCUGCCGGCAGCAGUGGCGCAGAUUAAACCCACGGCCAUCCCGGUGUGGCCCCAGCAGGAGCCCGGGGCGGGUUGGCAGUGCCACGGUGGGGGCAUGGAGCUGCUGUUCCCUUUCGUUAUCUCUGUGAGGGAGCGGGAGGCAUCUCCAGGGAGGCUCCCGAGGUGCUGCUCAUGCCCAAAAGCCACGCUUGCUGUACGGGCCGGGUUGGAUUGCCGACGUGGCUGGGCAGCCUUCGCCGUGACUCGGGGUGGUUAACACUCAGCAGAGUUUAAAAUCUGAAUUUCCAUGUCUGAUGUGGGCGACUGUGUCCUUUUAAUCAUUUGGCCUGCUGGCAGUUGCAGUAAACCAGUCCUCAAACCGUCUUCAUGUUUUCCUCUCUUUUCUCCACUCGCCAUUUGGGAACAGUGCAGAGCCCUUUGCAUCGGGCUCCCCUGUCCCAGGGAUCGGCCUCGUCCUGCCGAGUGACAGAGCACCCCCUGCCAGAGGAGCUCAUCCCUCCCCGAGCGAGGUGCCACCGGCGUCUGGUGCUGUGCCGGCUGGCUGGUGGGGCGAGGGCACGGCCGGGCACAGCCCAGCCGGCCACCGCGGCGCGCAGCGCUCACGGCCCCCUUGCACGCCAGCUCUGGGUUAGCGACGGGCUAUUUCUGGGUCGCUCUCGUGAGUAAUGGAAUGAAUCGUGCUGAGAUUUUUGGGUGGGGACGGUGCCUCUGCCCACUGAGUCACCGCUCAGUGUCACGCCGGGCUCGGGAGCCGUCCCGGGUCAGGGGGGACAGCCGAGGCCAUGGGGAGGAGCUGGGGGCGCGGGGCUCUGCACGGCUGGGAGCGGGCAGGGGAGCAGGGCGGGCGCUGCCCGGUGCUGGGCUGCUCCGGUUGGCUUUGUUUGAGGUCCGGUGUGCGGCAGACCGGGCGCGGGCAGAUCCGCACGUCCGUCUGGGAGCGGGUGUUUGUGUCCCCGGGCAGCCGCUGUUCCUUGCGCCGCGGGUGUGUCGUCUCCUGCGUCGCCAGGAUUAGAUAGCGGCGCACCCCACGCCACCGUUCUUCCUCCGUUCGUCUUUGAGAUAUGGAGCCGCAAAGCAGCAAAUCGCAUUUUGCUGUGGGCAAAGGAGUUUUCUGUCUAAAUAAACAGACUUUUUUGCCCAUGAGCUCUCCUUUUUCCGUGUUGUGGAGAUGGUGGCUGGAGAGCGGAUGAGCCUUUGGUCAGAUGAGGAUGGUUUGCAAAGGGGGUGAUGCGUUUCUUGUGUCCCCAGGGAUACGCUGUCCUCCAGAGCUUUCCCUGCUCAAGAGGGCAGGAGACAGCAGAGUCCUCCAGCCCUUUUAUCUGCCUCCACAGCACAAAUGUCGUGUGUCCUCGGGAUGGGCUCCUGGCUGGCUGCCUGUGCGUGGGGCCAGGGGCAUCCCUGGCCCAGCUGGGACGGGCAGGAGCAAGGGGGCAUGAGGAAAGGGGACAGGAGCUGUGCUGGGGGGUUUCCCCUCCGCACUCAGCCCCCAGCAGUGGGACCCUUUGGGCACUUUAAGUUUUUUCUUCAACUUUAGUGUUGCACCAGUGUGCUCACCCUCUAUAUAGACACUCUGCGCCACUGGGAUGUGUUCCUAGCGCCGAGGCUCCUGGCUGAGGAGUGCUGGAUCCUGCCAGACACGGCCCUUCAGCCUCAUCUUCUCACCUUACAAGUGCCGACUUAUUAUUUUUAUUAAUGGCUCCACAGCACUCAGCAGCCACGAACCACUUUGCUUGUGAGCCAGAGUGCGUGUAACCUGCAAAGAUCCGGGGCUCUGGCAGGGUCUGGCCUGGAUUUGGGUGAAACCUUUCUGUCUUCUGCCCCAACCACACGGUUGGGCAGUUUGAUCUGUGGGAGCUGGGGUGGUCCCUGAGACUUCCCUGGGGGUUUGUGUGACAGCCCUGGGGAGGUCUCCUGGGGCAGGAGCUUAGCAGUGACCUGCUAAAUGUGCAGAUGAGAGGAGCCUGCUUUUGAAAUGCAAGUCAGCCGCUGAGUCGAACUUCUUAAUCCUUCACUUGCAGCUAAUUAUAAUGCAGCUUCACUCGGGUUUUUCUCUUUUCCUCCCUUUUCCAUUGGCGCAGGGUGCGGGUGUGAUUGCCCCGGGGGAGGACAGGCGCCAGGCCCUCCUUACGGCUCACUGCCGGUGCGCUGGCUAAUGCCAAGCUCCUGAUGGCCAGUCUUCCCAGCACGAUCCCAGUGUGAUCCGCUCCCAGCGCUCGCAGCUCGGUGUAUUGGUGUAGACCAGAGAGCAGCGUGUGCCUUUCCAGGGAUUAAACCCUGAGCUGUCAGUGUGCAUCUUGCCCAGGAUUUCUGCGGGGACAGAGCUGGUGAUGUGCCAG